AAGAUAUUUCAUCCAUGAGGAAACAAUACACCUUUGCUUAUACAACAUAUCAGCUAAAUGAAUUGGAGGAUCCAAGACCCAGUCAACCGGAAGGGAACCUACCCUAGCACACGUUGCCACCCAAUCUGCAUGCAAGUUAGCAGAUCUUGGGGCAUAAGAAACAAAGAAUUAUACAUAGUAUAGUUUAACACAUAAGCUCUAAUCUCAUGAAUGACAGCUUCAAGCUCCCAAGGCACCAAAUCCUGAAGAGAAUUCAAGCAAUGGAUCAAGAUAAGAGAAUCAUAUGAAAACCUUUGUUGAUAGUAAAACGAAUAGCUACUAAAACUACCAACCCUUCAGCAGCUAGAGAAGAAGCACUGAGGCACUUGUAAAAACAUUCAUCCAGCAAAGAUCCAGAAGAGUUU
This 404-nucleotide unclassified non-coding RNA is filed under the name Hevea brasiliensis (rubber tree). Lineage: Eukaryota; Viridiplantae; Streptophyta; Magnoliopsida; Malpighiales; Euphorbiaceae. The record is from RNAcentral.